UUAAAUUGAAGAGUUUGAUCAUGGCUCAGAUUGAACGCUGGCGGCAGGCCUAACACAUGCAAGUCGAACGGUAACAGGAAGCAGCUUGCUGCUUUGCUGACGAGUGGCGGACGGGUGAGUAAUGUCUGGGAAACUGCCUGAUGGAGGGGGAUAACUACUGGAAACGGUAGCUAAUACCGCAUAACGUCGCAAGACCAAAGAGGGGGACCUUCGGGCCUCUUGCCAUCGGAUGUGCCCAGAUGGGAUUAGCUAGUAGGUGGGGUAACGGCUCACCUAGGCGACGAUCCCUAGCUGGUCUGAGAGGAUGACCAGCCACACUGGAACUGAGACACGGUCCAGACUCCUACGGGAGGCAGCAGUGGGGAAUAU
This 369-nucleotide ribosomal RNA is filed under the name Escherichia coli. RNAcentral describes it as "bacterial SSU rRNA". It matches the Rfam family "Bacterial small subunit ribosomal RNA", at positions 1 to 364 of the family's 1533-position model. Lineage: Bacteria; Pseudomonadati; Pseudomonadota; Gammaproteobacteria; Enterobacterales; Enterobacteriaceae. The record is from RNAcentral.